Molecule: long non-coding RNA, 770 nt
Organism: Brassica napus (rape)
Lineage: Eukaryota; Viridiplantae; Streptophyta; Magnoliopsida; Brassicales; Brassicaceae
Exons: 2
Source: RefSeq, a predicted model, not a curated record
ACAUAGGAGAGCACAAUGUGCUACUAAGGUACUUUCUAGUAGUUGAAUACAUGUUUGUCUUCCAUAAAGCAAACUAAGUGUGGGUAUUUGGGUAAUUAGACAUUUUUAUUCUAGUUGGGCUGGUUAGGGAAUUUAAAUUUUAAAUUUUUUAGGUUUCAGGUAGUGGACGUGAAACAGAUGUAAAAUUGAGUUUUUAGUUUUGCACAAACCUGUGAAAAAAAAAAUAAAACGCCGUGGGAGAAGACAGAGACCGCGAUUUUCGACGGAGCGACGAAUGAGAUUUCUCAUGGACAGAGAAGAUGAUGUCAUCGCGAAAGAGGAGAGUUACAAAGGGCAAAGCGAAAGAGAUAGCGGAACCACAUGAAGGAGCAGUCGCGGUUGUUUGCGACAGACAUAUACCCAAGCAAAAGGCACAAUUGUAAUUCAUUGUUGGAGUAUCUUCUUAUGGUAAGGGGCGUGCUUGAAAGGACAUAAGAGAUGGAGAAGCUUCUGGGCUUGUGCUUUGUCAACCUGUUUAGGCUAAAAACAAGAAGGGUAGUUGCGUACAUGCGUACAAAAUGAGAAAAGCUUCUGAACUCAUUUUAUGUCCUAUCUUUGAACGGUUUAUGUGUACAUGUGUACAAAGAGAGGUAGUUGUAGUCAUGGACAUUAAAGAAAAAUUGUAUACAAGUAGGGGCUGAUGAUUGUGGAAAUUGAAUCAGUCUAUGUAUAUGUAUAUUUUAAGUUGGGAUUUUGAAUUUUAUGCUUUUGUAAUGUGAAACUUGAUGGAA